This 433-nucleotide ribosomal RNA is filed under the name uncultured bacterium. Its description in RNAcentral is "partial 16S ribosomal RNA". It matches the Rfam family "Bacterial small subunit ribosomal RNA", at positions 29 to 507 of the family's 1533-position model. The record is from RNAcentral.
AACGAACGCUGGCGGCAUGCCUAACACAUGCAAGUCGAACGAGACCUUCGGGUCUAGUGGCGCACGUGUGCGUAACGCGUGGGAACCUGCCCUUAGGUUCGGAAUAACUCCCCGAAAGGGGUGCUAAUACCGGAUAAUGUCUUCGGACCAAAGAUUUAUCGCCUUUGGAUGGGCCCGCGUUGGAUUAGCUAGUUGGUAGGGUAAAAGCCUACCAAGGCGACGAUCCAUAGCUGGUCUGAGAGGAUGAUCAGCCACACUGGGACUGAGACACGGCCCAGACUCCUACGGGAGGCAGCAGUGGGGAAUAUUGGACGAUGGGGGAAAGCCUGAUCAAGCAAUGCCGCGUGAGUGAUGAAGGCCUUAGGGUUGUAAAGCUCUUUUACCCGGGAUGAUAAUGACAGUACCGGGAGAAUAAGCUCCGGCUAACUCCGUG